GGCCCUGUGGCUCAGUUGGUUAGAGCGCCGCCCUGUCACGGCGGAGGCCGUCGGUUCGAGUCCGUCCAGGGUCG
Molecule: transfer RNA, 74 nt
Filed under: Lachnospiraceae bacterium
Lineage: Bacteria; Bacillati; Bacillota; Clostridia; Lachnospirales; Lachnospiraceae
Description: tRNA-Asp
Rfam family: tRNA
About the family: Transfer RNA (tRNA) molecules are approximately 80 nucleotides in length. Their secondary structure includes four short double-helical elements and three loops (D, anti-codon, and T loops).
Source: RNAcentral